Molecule: long non-coding RNA, 326 nt
Filed under: Homo sapiens (human)
Lineage: Eukaryota; Metazoa; Chordata; Mammalia; Primates; Hominidae
Description: non-protein coding lnc-RBBP6-4:2
Source: RNAcentral
UGUGACUCCCAGGGCUACGUGGGUUCAAAAACAAUUUAAUACAAAAACACAAGCAGGUUCCCCUCCUCUCCUUUGCCUUUGGUCUGGCUCUCCCCAUCGCUGGGUUCAGUGCCUGACUGAAUGGAAAACCCGUCGUCUUGCAGCCACUAACCUGUGAGCGCCGGGUACCUGGAGACCAGGCCCCUCUGCUGGGGGCCCCCAGGAGCGGUGCCCCAUCAUUUUGCAGCCCACUGACUCCCAGCCUGGUGUGAAAACUGAGGCCCGGAGAGGUGAUGUGAUUUGCCUAAAGUCAUGCAACUAGUGGCAGAGCCAGGCCUAGACGCCAG